This 432-nucleotide ribosomal RNA is filed under the name uncultured bacterium. RNAcentral's name for it is "partial 16S ribosomal RNA". It matches the Rfam family "Bacterial small subunit ribosomal RNA", at positions 29 to 506 of the family's 1533-position model. The record is from RNAcentral.
AACGAACGCUGGCGGCAUGCCUAACACAUGCAAGUCGAACGAGACCUUCGGGUCUAGUGGCGCACGGGUGCGUAACGAGUGGGAACCUGCCCUUAGGUUCGGAAUAACUGCCCGAAAGGGGGGGUAAUACCGGAUAAUGUCUUAGGACCAAAGAUUUAUCGACUUUGGAUGGGCCCGCGUUGGAUUAGCUAGUUGGUAGGGUAAAAGCCUACGAAGGCGACGAUCCGUAGCUGGUCUGAGAGGAUGAUCAGCCACACUGGGAGUGAGACACGGCCCGGAGUCCGACGGGAGGACGCAGUGGGGAAUUUUGGACAAGGGGCGAAAGCCUGAUCCAGCAAAGCCGGGGGGGUGAUGAGGGCUUUAGGGUUGAAAACCUCUUUUUCCCGGGAUGUUAAUAGCAAUCCCGGGGAAAAAACCCCCGGCUAACUCGUU